RNAcentral lists this ribosomal RNA (459 nucleotides) under uncultured bacterium. RNAcentral describes it as "partial 16S ribosomal RNA". It matches the Rfam family "Bacterial small subunit ribosomal RNA", at positions 339 to 795 of the family's 1533-position model. The record is from RNAcentral.
CUACGGGGUGCACCAGUGAGGAAUAUUGGUCAAUGGGCGCAAGCCUGAACCAGCCAUGUCGCGUGCAGGAUGACUGCCCUAUGGGUUGUAAACUGCUUUUUUACAGGAAUAAUUGCAUCUACGUGUAGGUGUUUGAAGGUACUGUAGGAAUAAGGAUCGGCUAACUCCGUGCCAGCAGCCGCGGUAAUACGGAGGAUUCGAGCGUUAUCCGGAUUUAUUGGGUUUAAAGGGUCCGUAGGCGGGCGAUUAAGUCAGUGGUGAAAUCUUUCGGCUCAACCGGAAAACUGCCAUUGAUACUGGUUGUCUUGAAUAUAGUUGAGGUAGGCGGAAUACGUUAUGUAGCGGUGAAAUGCAUAGAUAUAACGUAGAACACCGAUUGCGAAGGCAGCUUACUAAGCUAUUAUUGACGCUGAUGGACGAAAGCGUGGGGAGCGAACAGGAUUAGAUACCCGAGUAGUC